CCACUGCCAGAGUGGCCCCUUGGGGAUGUCUGGACACCGAUAAGCCGGUAGUGCGGUGGUGCGAUAAACACCGGCAGUC
Molecule: non-coding RNA, 79 nt
Filed under: unclassified sequences
Description: Proteo-phage-1 RNA
Rfam family: Proteo-phage-1 RNA
Source: Rfam by way of RNAcentral